AGCCCUUUGCAGGACGUGCAACAGGGUUGUGGCUCGUGUGUUCGGUCUCUGCCUGCUGAAACCCCUUAUGGGAGGUGGAGCAUGCAGACGGACGGGUGCAGGAGCCAGGGUGCAAAAGCUGGGGCGCUGGGCUUCCAGCCCCACGGCAGUGUCCAGGGGCAGGAUCCCGUGAUUCCCGGAGCCCAAAUGGGCGUGUGUUACAGUGUGCUCUUUUAGCCUUACCAUCAGCUGACGGCUUAAGUGUUAACCAGCUCAAUAGACCCUCUGCCUUUUUGCAAGCGCAGAGGGUCAGUGUGACAGUUUCUGUAUCUCAGCUCUUGUCUCACCUCCCAGAAGAAUCAGGUCACACAUGGACUUGAAGGAUGGUGAGUGCCGGGGUGGGGGCGGGGGUAGAGGAGUUGGGGGAAGGUUGGGGGUGUUUAUUAGGUGGUAGGGGUGGCACUCAGUAGGAUGGAUGGGGAGCUGGAAAGGGGGUGGAGUAGGGAGAUGAUCUUCCCCUGGAGUUUAACCGUCCAGCGGUGGAUUCUCUAACUGUCCCCAGCUGAACUCCACCCAAUAUUCCUUCUCUUUUCUCUUUAUCUGCGGCUCUUCUGCUCUUCUGCUCUUCUGUUCAUCUGCUCAUCUUUUGCUGCUGGAGCCUGGUGUCUGGAGUUUAUACGGGUACAGGAUAGGGGGUCAUGGAGGGCCAAAAGAACACCAGAGACUGGGUAAUUAAUAAAAAGAAGAAAUUGAUCUGGCCUACAGUUCUGGAGCCUUGGAAGUCCGAGAUCAAGGAGCUGCAUCUGGGUUCUAGGAUGCCUCAUAAAGGCCCGUAGUGUACUUUCUGUCUACUUCACUUAGCUCCGCAUUUGCAAUUUCUGUUAACAUGCAUACAGUUGAAUGGAUGGCCAGGAUCAAAGCUAUCUGCUGUGAGACACAAUGAGAAAUGCUUUUGUGUAAAGGAAAACACAGAUCCUGGUGCCGAACAUGAGGACAGGGCAGGCCGAAGGAGAAAGUGGAAGGAGGGGAGCUUCUCUCUCAGCCUCAUCCUUCUGGGCCUGGAUGCUGGAGAGUCAUGAGGUGCUUCAGAGUACUCUGGGUGAGGAGGGAAAGAUGGUGCCCACCACAUGGAGGCCAGCCUAGGUCUUGUAUGAAACCUGUGAGGAGAUUCUCUCUCCCUUGCUGUCUUUGAAAAAGCAAGUUGCCAUGUGAAGAGGGCCAUAUAGCAUAGGAGCUGAAGGCAGCCUCCAACUGACGGCAAGAAAAUGAGGUCCUCAGUCUGACAACCUGCAAGAAACUGAAUGUUCUAAAAGCCACAUGAGCUUGGGAGCAGAUCUGACCCCAGCCAAAUCUCUGAAGUCCGCAGGCAGGAAAUGAAGAUCAGAAAAAGGCUAUUGUCUCAUGAAUAUGAGCCAGACUCCACAGAAGCUGGAGUCCUUCAUUAUGGAGCUAAACACAUACACCUGGCUUAGGAGUCAGAAAAACUGAAAGAGAAUUCAGGGAAGUAGAGAAAUUGCAAGCCCAGAUGCUGCUUCAUACCAAAGAAGCAAGUCAGCAGGUCAGCAACAAUGUGUAUCAGUUCCAAAAUGACUUACACAGGUACCAAGACAAGACAUUAUAUACACUUAUAUAGUCAAAUACUUUAAAACUGUUAACAAACUUGCUACAAUUGUCUCAUUUGUCUUUUAACCUUAAUAUCACAGAUCAAGUUUGUAAUCUCAAAAGUUCACCCUGGCUGCUGUGUGGAGUAUUCUCUUAUCUGCUCAUAUUACACUGUGCUUAUUCAUUCAUCAGUUAAUGGAAAUUUGGGUUGUUUCCUGAUUUUGACUGUAAUGAAUAAUGUUGCUGUAAACAUUCAUGUACAGUUUUGUGUGGACAUGCUUUUCUUUCUCUUGGGUAGGUUCCUAUGAGUGGAAUCACUAGAUUGUAUGGUAAAUGUAUGUUUAACUUUUAAAGAAACUGUCAAACUGUUUUCUAACAUGAACGGGCCAUUUUACGUUCUUAUCAACAAUAUAUGAUGGUUUCAAUUUUCCCACAUCCUCACCAACAUUUGGUAUUGUCUCUCUUUUACAUCAUAACUAUUUUAGUGGGGAUGUAGUGAUAUCUUAUCGUGGUUUUAAUUUGUGUCUCCCUAAUGACUAAUGAUAUUGUGCAUCUUUGCAUAUGCUUGUUAGCCAUUUAUGUACAUUCUUUAGUGAAAUGGCUAUUCAAAUCUUCUGCCCAUUUAAAAAUCGAGUUGUUUUUCUUAUUAUUCAGUUGUAAGAGUUUUUUCUUUAUUCUGUGCAAAAGUCCUUUAUCAAGUCUAGGAUUUUUGAAUAUUUUCUCAACCUAGAGCUUGUUUUUCAACAUUUUUUUCUUAAUGAUCUUUUGAAGUGCAAAAGUUUGAUUUUGAUGAAGUCUAAUGUAUCACUUCUUCCUUUAACUGUCAUGAUUUUUGUGUCGUAUCUAAGAACUCUUUACCCAACUCAAAGUUACCAAGGUAUUUUCUUCCAGAAGUUUUGCAGUUUUAACUCUUCUAUAUAGGCCUGUGAUCCAUUUUUAAUUCAUUUUUUGCAUAUGAUGUGAGAGAAGGGCCUAAGUUCAUAUUCGUACAUGUGGAUGUACAAUGGUUCCAGGAUCACUUGCUGAGAAAAGACUAUCCUUUCCCCAUUGAUUUUUUUGGCACCUGUGUCAAAAAUCAAUUGACCAUAAAUGCAAGCGUUUAUAUCUGAACUCUCAGUUCUUCUCCAUUCAUCUCUAAGGAUAUGUCUAUGCUUACAUCAAUAUCACAGUGUAUUCAUGUGGCUUUGUAGUAAAUUUUGAAAUUGGGUGAUAGAAGUCUUUCAAUUUUGUUCUUAGUUUUCAGAAUAGUUUUGGCUGUACUUUGCAUUUUGAUACAAAUUUUAGGAUGUAUGUGUGAAGUUUUACAAAAAUGCUUGCUGGAGUUUUGAUAGGAAUUGUGUUGAACCUAUAGAUCUAUUUGAGGGGGGAAUUGCCAUCUUGACAAGCUUGAGUCUUCCAAUCCAUGGACAGGGAAUGUCUCCAUUUAUUUAAAUCUUCAUUAAUUUUUCUUAGUAACGUUUCACAAUUUUUAGCGUACAAGUCUUAAACUUUUAUUACAUUUAUUUCUGUUUAUUCUUUUUGAGGCUUUGUGAAUAGAAUUUUUUUAAUUUUAUUUUUUGGGCUUGACAUUGCUGAUAUAUACAAAUACAAUAGAUUUUUAAAAUACUGAUCUUAGAUCCUGCAGCUUUGCUAAAUUCUUCGAUUAGUUCUAGAUAUUUUGUGUAUAGAUUCCUUGGUGUUUUCUAUACGCAAGAUUAUGCCAUCUGCAAAUAGAAGCAGUUUUAAUUCUUCCUUUACUCUCAGUCUGCUUUUAAUGAGCUAUUAUGUCUUCUGUUCUGUAUUGGUCAAACCCUCACCUGGAUCACAGUAUUUAUUACUGACCAUCACAGUUUCCUUGAGGAAAUGAAAAAAAUUAAAAAGAU
This 3443-nucleotide long non-coding RNA is filed under the name Homo sapiens (human). RNAcentral's name for it is "non-protein coding ZBED3-AS1:52". The record is from RNAcentral. Lineage: Eukaryota; Metazoa; Chordata; Mammalia; Primates; Hominidae.